RNAcentral lists this transfer RNA (67 nucleotides) under Rattus norvegicus (Norway rat). RNAcentral's name for it is "tRNA-Pro-AGG-14-1". The record is from RNAcentral. Lineage: Eukaryota; Metazoa; Chordata; Mammalia; Rodentia; Muridae.
GGAUUUAGCUCAGUGGUAGAGCGCUUGCCUAGGAAGCGCAAGGCCCUGGGUUCGGUCCCCAGCUCCG